Molecule: ribosomal RNA, 439 nt
Filed under: uncultured bacterium
Lineage: Bacteria
Description: partial 16S ribosomal RNA
Rfam family: Bacterial small subunit ribosomal RNA
Source: RNAcentral
CCUACGGGAGGCAGCAGUGGGGAAUAUUGCACAAUGGGGGAAACCCUGAUGCAGCGACGCCGCGUGAGUGAAGAAGUAUUUCGGUAUGUAAAGCUCUAUCAGCAGGGAAGAAAAUGACGGUACCUGAUUAAGAAGCCCCGGCUAACUCCGUGCCAGCAGCCGCGGUAAUACGGAGGAUGCGGACGUUAUCCGGAUUUAUUGGGUUUAAAGUGGGCGUAGGCGGAAUGCCAAGUCAGCGGUAAAAUCGCGGGGCUCAACCUCGCUCCGCCGUUGAAACUGGCGUUCUUGAGUGGGCGAGAAGUAUGCGGAAUGCGUGGUGUAGCGGUGAAAUGCAUAGAUAUCACGCAGAACUCCGAUUGCGAAGGCAGCAUACCGGCGCCCAACUGAUGCUGAAGCACGAAAGCGUGGGUAUCGAACAGGAUUAGAUACCCCAGUAGUC